GACGAACGCUGGCGGCGUGCUUAACACAUGCAAGUCGAACGGAAAGGCCUCUUUCGGGGGGUACUCGAGUGGCGAACGGGUGAGUAACACGUGAGUAACCUGCCCUUGACUUUGGGAUAACUUCAGGAAACUGGGGCUAAUACCGGAUAGGAGCUCCUGCUGCAUGGUGGGGGUUGGAAAGUUUCGGCGGUUGGGGAUGGACUCGCGGCUUAUCAGCUUGUUGGUGGGGUAGUGGCUUACCAAGGCUUUGACGGGUAGCCGGCCUGAGAGGGUGACCGGCCAUAUGGGGAUGGAGUGACGGCCCAGACUCCUCGGGGGGGGGGAGGGGGGGAAAUUGGCAAAAGGGGGGGAGGCCGAAGGCAGCACCCCCGUGUGGGGGAGGACGGCCUGGGGGUUGAAACCCGUUUCGCCCCAGGAGAAGGUUUUGUGGGAGGGUAGGGGAUAAAGAAGCCCCGCCAAACUAGGUC
RNAcentral lists this ribosomal RNA (467 nucleotides) under uncultured bacterium. Its description in RNAcentral is "partial 16S ribosomal RNA". It matches the Rfam family "Bacterial small subunit ribosomal RNA", at positions 28 to 507 of the family's 1533-position model. The record is from RNAcentral.